This 69-nucleotide transfer RNA is filed under the name Bos taurus (domestic cattle). It matches the Rfam family "tRNA". Rfam says of the family: Transfer RNA (tRNA) molecules are approximately 80 nucleotides in length. Their secondary structure includes four short double-helical elements and three loops (D, anti-codon, and T loops). Lineage: Eukaryota; Metazoa; Chordata; Mammalia; Artiodactyla; Bovidae. The record is from Rfam by way of RNAcentral. RNAcentral also lists the same sequence under 5 other names.
CCUGGUAGCUCAGAUGGUAAAGAACCUGCCUGCAAUGCAGGAGAUCCAGGUUUGAUCCCUGGGUCAGGA